CGAAAUGCGAUAAGUAAUGUGAAUUGCAGAAUUCAGUGAAUCAUCGAAUCUUUGAACGCACAUUGCGCCCAUUAGUAUUCUAGUGGGCAUGCCUGUUCGAGCGUCAUUUCAACCCUUAAGCCUAGCUUAGUGUUGGGAGACUGCCUAAUACGCAGCUCC
Molecule: ribosomal RNA, 159 nt
Filed under: Microdochium nivale
Lineage: Eukaryota; Fungi; Ascomycota; Sordariomycetes; Xylariales; Microdochiaceae
Description: 5.8S ribosomal RNA
Rfam family: 5.8S ribosomal RNA (bases 1-106)
About the family: 5.8S ribosomal RNA (5.8S rRNA) is a component of the large subunit of the eukaryotic ribosome. It is transcribed by RNA polymerase I as part of the 45S precursor that also contains 18S and 28S rRNA. Functionally, it is thought that 5.8S rRNA may be involved in ribosome translocation.
Source: RNAcentral